Molecule: transfer RNA, 89 nt
Filed under: Actinobacteria bacterium 21-73-9
Lineage: Bacteria; Bacillati; Actinomycetota
Also listed under: 2 other names
Description: tRNA-Ser
Rfam family: tRNA
About the family: Transfer RNA (tRNA) molecules are approximately 80 nucleotides in length.
Source: RNAcentral
GGAGGGGUGCGAGAGCGGCCGAAUCGGGCAGUCUCGAAAACUGCUGUGUCCAUUGGGCACCGUGGGUUCAAAUCCCACCUCCUCCGCCA